GACGAACGCUGGCGGCGUGCUUAACACAUGCAAGUCGAACGGAAAGGCCCCUUUGGGGGUACUCGAGUGGCGAACGGGUGAGUAACACGUGAGUAACCUGCCCUUGACUUCGGGAUAACUUCAGGAAACUGGGGCUAAUACCGGAUAGGAAUCCUUGCUGCAUGGUGGGGGUUGGAAAGCUUCGGCGGUUUUGGAUGGACUCGCGGCUUAUCAGCUUGUUGGUGGGGUAGUGGCUUACCAAGGCUUUGACGGGUAGCCGGCCUGAGAGGGCGACCGGCCACAUUGGGACUGAGAUAAGGCCCAGACUCCUACGGGAGGCAGCAGUGGGGAAUAUUGCACAAUGGGCGGAAGCCUGAUGCAGCAACGCCGCGUGCGGGAUGACGGCCUUCGGGUUGUAAACCGCUUUCAGCAGGGGCGAAGCUUGUGGUGACGGUACCUGCAGAAGAAGCACCGGCUAACUACGUG
RNAcentral lists this ribosomal RNA (465 nucleotides) under uncultured bacterium. Its description in RNAcentral is "partial 16S ribosomal RNA". It matches the Rfam family "Bacterial small subunit ribosomal RNA", at positions 28 to 507 of the family's 1533-position model. The record is from RNAcentral.